Gopherus evgoodei (Goodes thornscrub tortoise) is the source of this 2891-nucleotide long non-coding RNA. RefSeq lists it as uncharacterized. NCBI's taxonomy places the organism in Eukaryota, Metazoa, Chordata, Testudines, Testudinidae. The record is from RefSeq and is a predicted model, not a curated record. The transcript has 5 exons.
GGUUGCUGUGCGUCGCUGAGGGGGAAUCAGUAAAGUACAAGGGACUUGUGGCCCCGAUGGUGUCUUGGAGCGGGGUGUCGCUGAGUAAUGCCUGGGCCUUAGGGAGCUGAUCCCACAACAGCCACCAAUUCCCCAUCUGACCCUGGACAAGUCACUUAUCCUUUCUGUGCCUCAGUACCCCAUCUGUACCAUGGGAUAAUAACACAGCUCCCCUGAGGGUGGCGAUGCCAGCUAGAGGGAGUUACUGAAGCGUGUUUAAUUAUUACCACUUAUGACUAGUCAGAGUUUAAGAGAUACUCUCAAAUGCAUGCACUUGAGCACAAAAGCCUGGGAGCACCCCCCCCCCUUAUUAUUUAGUACCUGUACUUUUAGGGGUUGGGGUCCCACUGUACUGAGCACUGGUCUCACAAUGGAAAGAGAAAGGAUUUACAGUUUUAAGGAUACGCUGAGCCAUGGAUGCACAGAUGAUAACAAGGAAAUGGAGAUGAUCAAGAUAUGUCUCAAGCAGAGGUCAGAACCAUUUUUGUAUGCAUUAUAGCAUAGCGUGCAUCCAAAUGGUGACCUGCAUUUCCAGUGUUUCAAACUAUCUCGUCAGGCCAGACUUCAUGCUGGAAAUUAUCAGUAAAAUUGGCAACUCUUGCUAAGAGAGAUCAGCACUAUUCGUUUGUAUGGAGCUACUGGAACAUUAUUAGGGUUUUGGAUUGUGUGACCUGGUGGAAGGCUGAGUCACAGAAGACCCACAGAGGCUUACUGACAGCCUGCAGGAGGUGUUGUAGCCAAAGAGAAUGACAGCACUGCAACUGGAUGGCAAGGGUGUAUUCAAGAGGAGCCACAUGGAAUGGAGGAGGUUAGAUCUGGGAAAGGAACACUUUGGCUGUCUGAGGAAAAGUUAGUCACAGCAAUCCUUUCUCCCUUGGAAGAUUACAAAAUUAUUACCAUCUCUGUCCAUGGUGUCUGGCUUGUCCCAGCACUGAGCCAUGCUGCACAAGCUGAGUGGAAGAAGGUGGGAGAAGGAUACAAUCUGGUGGCUGGAUAAACAGUGCCACGUCCCUUUGCAGUGGAGAGGACCUUCAGCUCCUGAGAGGGAAACCUUUCCAUUGGGAGGACAGUAGCAACACCCCAGAGACAGCUGAGGCAGACAGAGAAGAAUCCUGGAGGAUCUGCUCAUUGCAUGGGGGAAUCUGCUCAUUGCACAGGAGGAACCAGGAUCAGUUUGAAUUCCUCAGGGAAAGGGAGGAUUCAGAAAGAGACACUGAUGAAAUGGUUCCUGAAGCAAGAGGCAUGUCUUAGGGAAUGGGAGCCUUCCCUAAUGGAGAGGCUCAAAGAACUGGUGGCCAAACAAGUUGGGAGUCUGCCUGCUGCCAUGACAACUACACCUGUCAAUGAACUGCCAUCACUACCACAUCGGCUCCUCCUCCAUCUGCUGCCAAGGGCACUGCCGAGGUGAAGGAGCCAACACUCCCAACUGACUGGGAGGAGAACAUGGAGCCUGCAAUGCUCCCCAGACUAGACGUUCUGCUGAUGCCCAGUACCCUUUGCUGGAGGGGCCUCCCUGAGCUCCCAGGCAGGGAACAGUGAGCCUAUGGAAUCUCUGAAUCCAACUAAGUGCCCACCCUCCAAGCCCCAUCUAGGUGACAUCUUUCUUUGUCCUCAAGAACAAUUUUACCAUGUUAUUCCUCCUUAUCAGGAGGUGGGCAAGGAGAUGGGUGCAGAGACAUUAACAUUUGCCCUAGUUGAUGGAUUCAGACCCAUUAUGUUUUAAAUAUUGUUGCUUUACAUUUCUUUAAAAAAUAUUUUACUUUUGAGUUCUAUGUAGUACUUUUAAUAAAUAUUAUAGUUUCCUUGACUUGUGUGAUGAAUAUAAAUGCGAUGAAUAUAAGAUGUUUUUCAGGUUCGGGAUUGGGCCCCACAAUUCAGAGCACAUGAAUUGGAAUGAUGCAACUGUCUAGUGCCAUCUUACUUCAAACACUUUUUAGUCCUACACCCAUAACCUCCUUCCCUUCCCUCCCCCCUGCCUCCCUGAGGUUCAGAAAUAUCAACAUUCCCCACAAUAUGUGGGAUGGAUGGGGAAAGUGCAGUUAGUGAUGUAUGCAAACAGAAAACACUGCUAGUUCUAAAUGCAGCAGAACUCACAAGAUAGAAAAUGGGCAGAUAAACAUCUUUAUAGCUUAAUUCUCAUGCAGAAAAUCAAAACACAAUUCAAGUAGCAACACAGGCAUCUGCCAUUACCCUGGGAUUAAACAGCCCAUCCUUCCCCCAAAAAACCUUGAUCAUUUUCAGUAGUAGUAGGUAUUAGUUCUUUGUAAUAGCCACUAAGUGCAGCUAGCACUGCUGACAAUAAACAAUUUUUAAAAAUGGCUGCAUCCCCCUCAGCCAAUCAAAUGUUGAUAAGGUGACUAAAAGAGAUUGAAUGCUCCUGAUAACAUUGGUUUGUAUACAAGUGUGAACAGUGAAGAUUAAAACAUUCCACAAUGACCAAAUCACAACUCGGCCACCACCACCUACCACAAAAACCCAACCCUAAAAUGAUAACCCAGAGGAAGCGCCCUGUUAUAAUUGUCUGUAAUGUGUCACUUAUCACAGGAACAAAUGGGUAUAAUGACCCUUGGCUACACAGGAACAAAACACUGACAAAGAUAUGUAGAUGCACAAGUUGGUACCAGUGUUCCCUCCUGUGCUUUUCCAACAGCUGCACAGUGUGAAGGUGACUCAGCAUGGGCAAAUAUCAUCUGCCUCCUUACUGUGCCAGGAUGUGCAUGUAUGUGUGAGGCUUUGGGGUUUAAUCCGGACUGGUAAGGAGUUAAUAAGGGAUUUCUACCUGCCCUGAGUGUGUUAAAUGCUAUUCUGCUGUUGCGAACAGCCUUUGUUAUACCAAUAUAAUAAAAACCAGC